RNAcentral lists this ribosomal RNA (423 nucleotides) under uncultured bacterium. Its description in RNAcentral is "bacterial SSU rRNA". It matches the Rfam family "Bacterial small subunit ribosomal RNA", at positions 917 to 1344 of the family's 1533-position model. The record is from RNAcentral.
GGGCCCGCACAAGCGGUGGAGCAUGUGGUUUAAUUCGAUGAUACGCGAGGAACCUUACCAGGACUUAAAUGCACAAUGACAGAUUGGGAAACCAAUCCUUCUUCGGACAAUGUGCAAGGUGCUGCAUGGUUGUCGUCAGCUCGUGCCGUGAGGUGUCAGGUUAAGUCCUAUAACGAGCGCAACCCCUAUUCUUAGUUGCCAGCGGUUCGGCCGGGGACUCUAAGAAAACUGCCAGCGCAAGCUGUGAGGAAGGUGGGGAUGACGUCAAAUCAUCACGGCCCUUACGUCCUGGGCCACACACGUGCUACAAUGGUAGGUACAAAGGGCAGCCACUUGGCAACAAGGAGCUAAUCUCUAAAACCUAUCUCAGUUCGGAUCGCAGUCUGCAACUCGACUGCGUGAAGCUGGAAUCGCUAGUAAUCG